This 427-nucleotide ribosomal RNA is filed under the name uncultured bacterium. RNAcentral's name for it is "bacterial SSU rRNA". It matches the Rfam family "Bacterial small subunit ribosomal RNA", at positions 355 to 774 of the family's 1533-position model. The record is from RNAcentral.
UGGGGAAUUUUGGACAAUGGGCGCAAGCCUGAUCCAGCCAUGCCGCGUGCAGGAUGAAGGCCCUCGGGUUGUAAACUGCUUUUGUACGGAACGAAAAGCCUCUUUCUAAUAAAGAGGGGUGAUGACGGUACCGUAAGAAUAAGCACCGGCUAACUACGUGCCAGCAGCCGCGGUAAUACGUAGGGUGCGAGCGUUAAUCGGCAUUACUGGGCGUAAAGCGUGCGCAGGCGGUCUUGCAAGACAGUGGUGAAAUCCCCGGGCUCAACCUGGGAACUGCCAUUGUGACUGCAAGGCUGGAGUACGGCAGAGGGGGAUGGAAUUCCGCGUGUAGCAGUGAAAUGCGUAGAUAUGCGGAGGAACACCGAUGGCGAAGGCAGUCCCCUGGGCCUGUACUGACGCUCAUGCGCGAAAGCGUUGGGAGCAAACA